RNAcentral lists this ribosomal RNA (253 nucleotides) under uncultured bacterium. Its description in RNAcentral is "partial 16S ribosomal RNA". It matches the Rfam family "Bacterial small subunit ribosomal RNA", at positions 524 to 776 of the family's 1533-position model. The record is from RNAcentral.
UACAGAGGUCUCAACCGUUGUUCGGAUUCAUUGGGCGUAAAGGGUGCGUAGGCGGCGGGGCAAGUCAGGUGUGAAAUCUCGGGGCUCAACCCCGAAACUGCACUUGAUACUGCCUUGCUUGAGUACUGGAGAGGAGACUGGAAUUUACGGUGUAGCAGUGAAAUGCGUAGAUAUCGUAAGGAAGACCAGUGGCGAAGGCGAGUCUCUGGACAGUUACUGACGCUGAGGCACGAAGGCCAGGGGAGCAAACGGG